Molecule: ribosomal RNA, 290 nt
Filed under: uncultured bacterium
Lineage: Bacteria
Description: partial 16S ribosomal RNA
Rfam family: Bacterial small subunit ribosomal RNA
Source: RNAcentral
GUGCCUACGGGGGGCAGCAGUGGGGAAUAUUGCACAAUGGGGGAAACCCUGAUGCAGCAACGCCGCGUGAGUGAAGAAGUAUUUCGGUAUGUAAAGCUCUAUCAGCAGGGAAGAAGAUGACGGUACCUGAGUAAGAAGCCCCGGCUAACUACGUGCCAGCAGCCGCGGUAAUACGUAGGGGGCAAGCGUUAUCCGGAUUUACUGGGCGUAAAGGGAGCGUAGACGGUGAGACAAGUAUGAGGUGACAGCCCGGGGCUCAACCCCGGGACUGCUUUGGAAACUGCCUGACU